Molecule: small nuclear RNA, 308 nt
Filed under: Meleagris gallopavo (turkey)
Lineage: Eukaryota; Metazoa; Chordata; Aves; Galliformes; Phasianidae
Description: 7SK RNA
Rfam family: 7SK RNA
About the family: 7SK was discovered as an abundant small nuclear RNA in the mid-70s but a possible function has only recently been suggested. Two independent studies have found that 7SK RNA binds the CDK9/cyclin T complex (known as elongation factor P-TEFb).
Source: Rfam by way of RNAcentral
GCACGUGCAGAGGACAAUCUGUCAGUAUUAUCUGUCACCCCACUGAUGGCUAGGGUUGAUUCAGGUGAUCUUGUUCCCUCACCGCUCCAUGUGCAUCCCUCCUGAAGCUGUGUAUUUGAUCAAAGAGGACAGCUUUUCCCAAUAAGGAUGUAAAGAUGAUAAAGAUGCUCAUCAGUCAAGAGUAUACGGUAGCUAUACUGCCUGGCUAGAACCUCUGAACAAGCUUCACAGAUCACCAUUAGAAAAGAGUACAUAUCAAGACUUUAGUCAGCCAUACUGAAGUUCCAAGCUGGAAAAUAUCCACCGUG